UGAGUGGAGGAAUUGAGGAAGUCCUGUCAAGGAGAGCGGCCAUAUGUUCAGAUCCGGCCUCAGUUUUAAAAACUGAUAGGAAGUAAUUGGGGAGCUAGGCCAGACCUUGUUGUGGAAGUGAUGGCUCUGUUGUAUAAGAUGGAGAAGGCUGGAGGAUUGGUGGCAUUGUUUUGGUGCCU
Etheostoma cragini (Arkansas darter) is the source of this 179-nucleotide long non-coding RNA. RefSeq lists it as uncharacterized. The transcript has 3 exons. The record is from RefSeq and is a predicted model, not a curated record. Lineage: Eukaryota; Metazoa; Chordata; Actinopteri; Perciformes; Percidae.